UUGACCUCGGAUCAGGUAGGAAUACCCGCUGAACUUAAGCAUAUCAAUAAGCGGAGGAAAAGAAACCAACAGGGAUUGCCCUAGUAACGGCGAGUGAAGCGGCAACAGCUCAAAUUUGAAAUCUGGCUCUCGGGCCCGAGUUGUAAUUUGUAGAGGAUACUUUUGAUGCGGUGCCUUCCGAGUUCCCUGGAACGGGACGCCAUAGAGGGUGAGAGCCCCGUCUGGUUGGAUGCCAAAUCUCUGUAAAGUUCCUUCAACGAGUCGAGUAGUUUGGGAAUGCUGCUCUAAAUGGGAGGUAUAUGUCUUCUAAAGCUAAAUACCGGCCAGAGACCGAUAGCGCACAAGUAGAGUGAUCGAAAGAUGAAAAGCACUUUGAAAAGAGAGUUAAAAAGUACGUGAAAUUGUUGAAAGGGAAGCGUUUAUGACCAGACUUGGGCUUGGUUAAUCAUCUGGGGUUCUCCCCAGUGCACUUUUCCAGUCCAGGCCAGCAUCAGUUUUCCCCGGGGGAUAAAGGCGGCGGGAAUGUGGCUCUCUUCGGGGAGUGUUAUAGCCCACCGUGUAAUACCCUGGGGGGGACUG
RNAcentral lists this ribosomal RNA (579 nucleotides) under Fusarium oxysporum. RNAcentral describes it as "eukaryotic LSU rRNA". It matches the Rfam family "Eukaryotic large subunit ribosomal RNA", at positions 1 to 590 of the family's 3401-position model. Lineage: Eukaryota; Fungi; Ascomycota; Sordariomycetes; Hypocreales; Nectriaceae. The record is from RNAcentral.